Molecule: ribosomal RNA, 426 nt
Filed under: uncultured bacterium
Lineage: Bacteria
Description: partial 16S ribosomal RNA
Rfam family: Bacterial small subunit ribosomal RNA
Source: RNAcentral
GUGAGGAAUUUUCCGCAAUGGGCGAAAGCCUGACGGAGCAAUGCCGCGUGAAGGAUGAAGGCCUAUGGGUUGUAAACUUCUUUUCUCAGAAAAGAAUUAUGACGGUAUCUGAGGAAUAAGCAUCGGCUAACUCUGUGCCAGCAGCCGCGGUAAGACAGAGGAUGCAAGCGUUAUCCGGAAUGAUUGGGCGUAAAGCGUCUAUAGGUUGUUUAAAAAGUAUUCUGUCAAAGAUUAGGGCUUAACCCUAGAUAGGCAGAAUAAACUUUUAAGCUAGAGUUUGGUAGAGGCAGAGGGAAUUCCCGGUGGAGUGGUGAAAUGCGUAGAUAUCGGGAGGAACACCAAAGGCGAAGGCACUCUGCUGGGCCAAUACUAACACUGAGAGACGAAAGCGAGGGGAGCAAAUGGGAUUAGAAACCCGAGUAGUCC